Small nuclear RNA from Dermacentor silvarum, 186 nucleotides. RefSeq annotates it as U2 spliceosomal RNA. The transcript has a single exon. Lineage: Eukaryota; Metazoa; Arthropoda; Arachnida; Ixodida; Ixodidae. The record is from RefSeq and is a predicted model, not a curated record.
ACAAUUGUCUUGUGUUCAGUGAGAAUUGUGAGUUCAGUGGGUUAUCAGCUUAAUAUCUGAUACGGGUUGUAUUUGGACCCAAGAUAUCAAACCUAUUUUUGCAAAUUGGCGGAGUGAUUCAAGGUUGCUUCAGGGCCACCGCGGGUUGGCCCAGUAUUGCACAAUGUUCGGGAUAGCCCCACGGUU